UACAUCAAUCUCUUUCUCUAAGUAUAUGUAAAUGUAGAGAAAGCGAUAUAUAUGUUCUAUAUGUAUACUGUUUCUGCGAAGAACCCUAAUACAAACAUUAAUAAAUUGUUUAUAUUGUAUUUUAUAUUUCUACUGAUUUGGAAAAUAUACAUUCUACUCAUAGUCUGUUAGAGAACAUCUUUCAUUAAAAGCAUGUAAGCCUUUAUUUCUCUGUUAUAACAAUAAAACCUCAAUGCCUCAAAUAAGAUGAGGAAUUCAGCUUGCUUUUAAAAGUUUCCUCUUUUUUCUCUAUCUCCC
This 297-nucleotide long non-coding RNA is filed under the name Pan troglodytes (chimpanzee). Its description in RNAcentral is "long non-coding RNA NONPTRT015578". Lineage: Eukaryota; Metazoa; Chordata; Mammalia; Primates; Hominidae. The record is from RNAcentral.